RNAcentral lists this ribosomal RNA (468 nucleotides) under uncultured bacterium. RNAcentral's name for it is "partial 16S ribosomal RNA". It matches the Rfam family "Bacterial small subunit ribosomal RNA", at positions 28 to 507 of the family's 1533-position model. The record is from RNAcentral.
GACGAACGCUGGCGGCGUGCUUAACACAUGCAAGUCGAACGGAAAGGCCCUGCUUUUGUGGGGUGCUCGAGUGGCGAACGGGUGAGUAACACGUGAGUAACCUGCCCUUGACUUUGGGAUAACUUCAGGAAACUGGGGCUAAUACCGGAUAGGAGCUCCUGCUGCAUGGUGGGGGUUGGAAAGUUUCGGCGGUUGGGGAUGGACUCGCGGCUUAUCAGCUUGUUGGUGGGGUAGUGGCUUACCAAGGCUUUGACGGGUAGCCGGCCUGAGAGGGUGACCGGCCACAGUGGAACUGAAAGACGGCCCAGACUGGUACGGGAGUCAGCAGUGGGGAAUAUUGCACAAUGGGCGGAAGCCUGAUGCAGCAACGCCGCGUGCGGGAAGACGGCCUUCGGGUGGUAGACCGCUUUCUCCUGUGACGAAGCGUGAGUGACGGUAAGGGGUAAAUAAGCACCGGCUAACUACGUG